GUGCCAGCAGCCGCGGUAAUACGGAGGGUGCGAGCGUUAAUCGGAAUUACUGGGCGUAAAGGGCGCGUAGGCGGUCGCGCAAGUCGGGUGUGAAAGCCCCGGGCUCAACCUGGGAAUUGCAUUCGAUACUGCGUAACUAGAGUCUGGUAGAGGGAAGCGGAAUUCCGCAUGUAGCGGUGAAAUGCGUAGAUAUGCGGAGGAACACCAGUGGCGAAGGCGGCUUCCUGGACCAAGACUGACGCUGAGGCACGAAAGCGUGGGGAGCAAACAGGAUUAGAUACCCUGGUAGUCCACGCCCUAAACGAUGAGGACUAGACGUUGGGGGGAUAAAACCCUUUAGUGUCGCAGCUAACGCGUGAAGUCCUCCGCCUGGGGAGUACGGCCGCAAGGUUGAAACUCAAAUGAAUUGACGG
Molecule: ribosomal RNA, 413 nt
Filed under: uncultured bacterium
Lineage: Bacteria
Description: bacterial SSU rRNA
Rfam family: Bacterial small subunit ribosomal RNA
Source: RNAcentral